Long non-coding RNA from Sciurus carolinensis (gray squirrel), 2510 nucleotides. RefSeq lists it as uncharacterized. Lineage: Eukaryota; Metazoa; Chordata; Mammalia; Rodentia; Sciuridae. The transcript has 6 exons. The record is from RefSeq and is a predicted model, not a curated record.
GGGCAGUGCCAUAUGCCUUCAAGCCUGUGUGGCCCACAGGAGAGCGGCACGGCGUCCACCAGGACAGGUCUCCGAGUUCCUGCUGAACCACUCAAUGGCUUAAAAUACAACCAGCCAGCUGCUGGGGGAGGGCUGAAACCCUACUCUCCCCGACCCCGCACCAGACCAGGGCCUGGCGGGGAGCACUGGCCAGGCUGCUGGGAGAGGAAGCCAGGAGGCAGGCGGGGGCAGCUGGGAGAGGGGCCGCGGCAGCCGCAACAGCAGCGCCCAAGCCGGGGUGCAGCCCCAAGAAGAGCUGCCUGCACCACGCACAGGAAGCUGCUGUCGAGCCAGGAAGCCGGCAGAGGGACAGAGACCCUGAGCUCUGCGGACCCGCUGACCCGAGGAGCAGCUCCCAGCCGACCGCCCACAGCUGACCACCAGCCGCCCCUGGGCUGAGUGAGCAGGCAGACAGAGGUUCAAAAGAGGAACCCACAUGAGAAGAACUUUAUUCUACAAGCCUAAGAUGAAUGGGGCAUCUACCUGUUCUUGACACCAUGUCAAAAAUGAGGACUUCUAGAUCAAAGGUUCCAAAGGAUUCUGGGCAAAUUACCAAGUAUAGUAAAGGUAGUAGGUAGAGAUAGGAACUAUGACUCUGGAGUCCCGAUUUCUUCUCUCUGUCAUGCACGUACUAGCUGGUGGUCUUUGGACAAGUCACUUCUGAGACUUUCUUCAUCUACGCAUGUGGGGCAAGUAAUAAUCUCCUACCUGAAACGACUUUGAGGAUGAGAACAAUGUAACAGAAUCUCACGAGCACAAGAGAACUGGCCGUGGACCUACAUCUCCUUCACUGCCUAGACUCUCGGGGACCGUGCCGGGUGAGGAAUGGGGUCCAAGGUCAUACAGGAGAGAACUGAUUGCAGAGCCCCUUCCUAAACCCCAGGCGGUAGCAUGGUGCAAGGUUUGUGCAAGACUCCCACGGAUGGAAAGAAAAGGGUGGCUCCUGCUUCGACUACUGCGGACAGUUUUCCACCUGCGCGCAAGACAGCACACAGCUCCUCGCACGCUCGCGACCGCCGCGCGAGACUGCGGCUCCUCCGCCGCCCCGCCCCUCCCUGCCGCGCGCGCCCCUCCGCCAAUCAGUGAGGAGGGAGCCCACCUCGCCCCGCCUCUCGGGGACGGUCCGAGAGAAGACUAAGACACUCGCACCACAGGUAUGACCAAUCAGCUUGCGGGACCCACUGAGGCGGGGCGGAGCAAGGGCAGGAGUGGCUAAAAGAAGGGGCUCGGCCUCCCACCAAUCAAAAGAGAGCGAGACGGCGCCGCGCGCACCCUUGACCCGCCCCUUGGUGGCGUAGCUGUGGAAACCAAGGGAAGCGACGGUUACUGUAAAGCUGGGGCGGGAGAAGUUGAGUGACAGGGAGGGCAGCGUCCUCAUGGCGGACGGAGCGGCUAGGUGAAUUCCAAGGUGGGUGGUCCCGGGGUUCUGGCGAGCAUCGAGAGAGGGCCGGGGAGCGAGGGCGCGGGCAGGAGAGCCUAGGUGGCAAGGCCGCUGUGGUGAGGGAAUUCCAUCUGUCAUGACUGGGAGGAAGGAAAGGAGAAAUGGGGUGGCUUAAAUCUGCCUAGAGUCCCUCAGCCUGCAACUUGAACCCACUGUGGGGUUGUCUUCUUUGCCCUUUUCAAUAAUAGCCCCUGACCCACCCUCCUCGGUCCUGUAGGCAGGAAGCCCACAAUUGUCUCUACCUGCACAGUUGUCCGGUAUGGUCACUACUGGUCACGUUGGCUACUGAGCCCCUGAAAAGUGGCCUGCCCAAACUGUCGAUGUUAAAAUGCAGAUUUCAGAAAUAUAAGACAAAAAGGUGAAUGUAAAGAAAAAUCUUGCUAAUGGUUGUUUUGUUUCGUUUCAUUUAGUGAAAGGAUGAUUUUUAUUUCCAUCUUGAAUGAUUACCAUACCAUUAUUUAAAUAUGUCUGAAAAAAAUCCUGAAAUAAUUUAAACUGAAGGCAUAGAACAAACAAAAGUAUUUAACUGUAAAAGCUUAAAUGAGAAAAAUGCAAUGUUUCCUCAGUAGCAAUAAACUAUGAAUAAGCUUCCAUCACUAAACCAUAAUGUUUUAUGAUGAUUAUACAUUGAAAUGACAUUAUUUUUGCUGUAGUGGAUUAAAAUAAAUUAGUAACCCAUUAUGUCCCAUUGUCCUAUAUAAAAUUGAAAACUUGGGACUUAAUGGAUUAAAAUUAAAUUCCCUUCUUUCUUUUUAUUAAAGCUAGCUUCCUCUUCCCAACUGAGAACUGAACCCAGGGACACAUUACCACUGAUUACAUUCCCAGCCCUUUUAAUUUUUUGUUUUGAACCAGAAUCUUGCUAAACUUCCCAGCCUCAAAUUUGCAGUCCUCCUGCCUCAGCCUCCCUAGUUGCUGAGAUUGCAGACAUGAACCACUGCACCCAAUUCUUUAACUCUUUUUAUUUUAUUCAUGUGCCUAUUCUAACUCUUUUUUCUUCUUCUUCUUCUUAUUUUUGUGCUGCUGAGAUUGA